UCCCAAAGGGAUCAGGGGGCUCAAACCACCCCAUCCCCACUGUGUCCCGGUGACCCGGGGGAGCCGGACACUGCCACACCUGGAUUAUGGUGACAGGAAAGGGUUUGACAGAACAAUUGUGACAAUUUCCCAGCUGAGUUUCCCAGGCAGGAUCUAAUUCCUGCCCCCAGCAGCUCUGUGGGAGUUGGGGAUCCAGCUCCCAGGCAGAGGGAACAUUUCCAAUCAGCGCAACUCAAUCCCAGCCUGGCCCCAGCCUCAAGCAGGAUAAAGCCACAUCCUGCCCACUCCUUUUUCUUUUCCACCCCUCUGGACCAUGGGAAAUCCCUUCCCAGCACUGAAGGAGGUGGGUGGGAGGAAAGGAAAACAAAACUUUGGAGCAGUUUGGGAGCCUCCCCCGCCCUCCAUCCAUCACCCACAGCAGGGCAGGGACAGGAACGCAGCUCCUGCUCCCAGGGUUUGUGCCCUUGGCUUUUGCACCUCUGGGAAAAGGGGAAAAAUAGAGGUGGGGUUGAAAUGCAGCCUGAAGGGAAAGAAAAAUGAGGUGGCGUAAUAAUAAUAAUAAUAAUAAUAAUAAUAAUAAUAAUAAUAAUAGUAAAGGAGAGCAAGAUCUGGAGCUCAGCACAGCACUGAAAUGGAAUGUGGUGAUUGCUGGGAUCAGGGAUUGAUCCCUGGGAUGUGGUGAUGGUUGGGAUCAGGGAUUCAGGGCAUGGGAUUCAGGGACCAUGGGAUGUGGUGAUGAUUGGGAUCAGGGAUUCAUCCCCUGGAUGUGGUGAUGACUGUGAUUGGGGAUUCAUCUCUGGGAUGUGCCCUGUGGGGACCAGGGAUUGAUCCCCUGGGAUGUGGUGAUGGUUGGGAUCAGGGAUUCAGGGCAUGGGAUUCAGGGAUCAUGGGAUGCGGUGACCUGUGGGGAUCAGGGAUUGAUCUCUGGGAUAUGGUGAUGGUUGGGAUCAGGGAUCAUCUCUGGGAUGUGAUGGUUGGGAUCAGGGAUCAUCUCUGGGAUGUGAUGGUUGGGAUCAGGGAUGCAUCCCCGGGAUCCAGGAUCUGGGAUCUGAGCCUGGAGGCUGUGGAAGGAGCAGGACAGUGCUGGAGAGCUGCAGCACCACAGGAACACAGCAGACCCAGAGCAAUCCCAUCCCACGGGCUCCGUCCCACGGAUGUGGGGAGGAUCAGAGGCAGGAGGGGCUGCUGCAGGCUCCUUUCCCUGGAGCACAGCUCACCAGAACGCUUUCCAGGUGGAAAAUCCUGCGCCACGCAGGGGCAGGCUGACAGCCAGGCCCUCUGGGAAGUUCUGGAUGCCAAUCCCAAUGGCUAAAUUCCUAAAAAAAAAAGCACAAAUAGAUCAAUUUAUUUAUUGUUAGGGACAAAGCUCAGCCUGGGAUAAGCUGCUGGGAAAAAGGGACAUGAUUAAAGAUUCAGUGGAAAUGCUCCCAGCCCCAGUGCCCAGAUUUAACAGGAUCCCAGCAAAUUCCAUCCCCCAGAGCUUGUCCUGGGAGGCUCUGGAGGGAUUCCAGCCCAAGGAUUCCCGGGAGCUGCAACAUUCCCUCUUUUUCUGCUUUCCCUCUCUUUCUGCUUUCCUUUUUUUUUUGCUUUCCCUCUUUUUUGCUCUCCCUCUUUUCCCCCUCUCACAUCCCAUGGAAAGGGAACACUUUGGAACUUCCAGCAUCAAACUCAGCAGAGGGGAGAGCAGGGCUGUGCACCAGUCGUGGAAUCCCAGACUCCUGGAACGCUUUGGGUGGGAAGGGAUUUAAAAUCCCAUCCCAUCCCACCCCCUGGCACGGCAGGGACACCUCCAGCUAUGCCAGGCUGCUCCAGCCCGGCCUUGGGCACUGCCAGGGAUAUGCAGGGGCACAGCCCCAGCUGCUCUGGGAAUUCCAUCCCAGGGCAUCCCCACCCUGCCAGGGAAGGAUUUUGUACUCACAGGGAAGAAUUGGGUUUUUGCUGGGGCUGUGCAUGGCUGGCACAUCCAUCUCCCUCCCUUCCGCCUCUGCAGGGGUUUGGGAUUUUGGGGGAACAUUUCAGGCACCAAAAAGGGUUCGUGUUUGUGCCAUGGGCUCCCCACACAUCCCUGUCCCACCCUGUGAGCAUUUCUCCAAUUUCUCCACCUUUCUGGGCUCUGUUGGUGGCACUGGGGGACACCAAGAGUGGGAGCACCCUGGGGGGCUCCAGCAGGGGGGGUUUGGGCUCUGAGUGACCCCCGGAGCCUCUCCCAGCUCAGUCCUGCUCUGCCAACAGCUGCAGCUCCCUC
RNAcentral lists this long non-coding RNA (2245 nucleotides) under Zonotrichia albicollis (white-throated sparrow). Its description in RNAcentral is "lncRNA (ENSZALG00000001296.1)". The record is from RNAcentral. Lineage: Eukaryota; Metazoa; Chordata; Aves; Passeriformes; Passerellidae.